AUACGUAGGUGGCAAGCGUUGUCCGGAAUUAUUGGGCGUAAGGCGCGCGCAGGCGGUCCUUUAAGUCUGAUGUGAAAGCCCACGGCUCAACCGUGGAGGGUCAUUGGAAACUGGGGGACUUGAGUGCAGAAGAGGAAAGUGGAAUUCCAAGUGUAGCGGUGAAAUGCGUAGAGAUUUGGAGGAACACCAGUGGCGAAGGCGACUUUCUGGUCUGUAACUGACGCUGAGGCGCGAAAGCGUGGGGAGCAAACAGGAUUAGAUACCCUGGUAGUCCACGCCGUAAACGAUGAGUGCUAAGUGUUAGGGGGUUUCCGCCCCUUAGUGCUGCAGCUAACGCAUUAAGCACUCCGCCUGGGGAGUACGGUCGCAAGACUGAAACUCAAAUGAAUUGACGGGG
This 397-nucleotide ribosomal RNA is filed under the name uncultured bacterium. RNAcentral's name for it is "partial 16S ribosomal RNA". It matches the Rfam family "Bacterial small subunit ribosomal RNA", at positions 523 to 918 of the family's 1533-position model. The record is from RNAcentral.